This 232-nucleotide ribosomal RNA is filed under the name uncultured bacterium. RNAcentral describes it as "partial 16S ribosomal RNA". It matches the Rfam family "Bacterial small subunit ribosomal RNA", at positions 118 to 350 of the family's 1533-position model. The record is from RNAcentral.
UGGGCAACCUGCCCCUCUCUCUGGGAUAACCCCGGGAAACCGGAGCCAAUACCGGAUACUCCGGCUGGAUCGCAUGGUCCGGCCGGGAAAGGUCCGCCGGAGAGGGAUGGGCCCGCGGCCUAUCAGCUUGUUGGUGGGGUCAUGGCUCACCAAGGCGACGACGGGUAGCUGGUCUGAGAGGGCGACCGGCCACACUGGGACUGAGACACGGCCCAGACUCCUACGGGAGGCA